This 562-nucleotide ribosomal RNA is filed under the name Rhodotorula glutinis. Its description in RNAcentral is "eukaryotic LSU rRNA". It matches the Rfam family "Eukaryotic large subunit ribosomal RNA", at positions 83 to 657 of the family's 3401-position model. Lineage: Eukaryota; Fungi; Basidiomycota; Microbotryomycetes; Sporidiobolales; Sporidiobolaceae. The record is from RNAcentral.
GUAGCGGCGAGCGAAGCGGGAAGAGCUCAAAUUUAUAAUCUGGCACCUUCGGUGUCCGAGUUGUAAUCUCUAGAAGUGUUUUCCGCGUUGGACCGCACACAAGUCUGUUGGAAUACAGCGGCAUAGUGGUGAAACCCCCGUAUAUGGUGCGGACGCCCAGCGCUUUGUGAUACACUUUCAAUGAGUCGAGUUGUUUGGGAAUGCAGCUCAAAUUGGGUGGUAAAUUCCAUCUAAAGCUAAAUAUUGGCGAGAGACCGAUAGCGAACAAGUACCGUGAGGGAAAGAUGAAAAGCACUUUGGAAAGAGAGUUAACAGUACGUGAAAUUGUUGGAAGGGAAACGCUUGAAGUCAGACUUGCUUGCCGGAGCUUGCUUCGGUUUGCAGGCCAGCAUCAGUUUUCCGGGGUGGAUAAUGACGGUUUGAAGGUAGCAGUCUCGGCUGUGUUAUAGCUUUCCGUUGGAUACGCCCUGGGGGACUGAGGAACGCAGCGUGCUUUUUGCGAAAGACUCGUCUUUUUCACGCUUAGGAUGCUGGUGGAAUGGCUUUAAACGGUCCGUCUUGA